UAAGUAGUAUUACUUACAAUAUGUACACUAUAUUAGGUAUACGCAUCCAAUAUAACUACCAUUGAGGGAAUCUGGCAUUGCCUUGGUUCUUACGUAGGUAUUUAGUACUUAGUCUCAUUAGUAAUUGUAGAUAAAAGUGGAGGUAUUAGCGAAAGUUGAAUUGUAGUGAAGUGUAGGUAUUAGCGAGUAUUAGCACAGGAUUUGUUAUUAACCGAUACGACCUUCAAGAACAGUACUCCCAUCUUACAGGUAAGCAACGCACUACAACCGGUCUGGUGGGCGGCGGCGAUCGCUUACCAUCAAGCAAUCCGUUUGAUCGCGUUUGCCUGUCAUAAGAGAAAGCUUGUAUUAAGCUUGUAUUGACCUAACUUUCAUGUAGGUAAAACCAGUAAAAUCAUUCCGUGCUGGUAUCACCAUAAAUUGAAAUAACCAUAGCAACGAAUAAACACUUUUUCUACAGGAGGCAUUGUCAUCCCGCUGUCAAUACAAUUAUUGAUCGCGCAAAAAUAAACAAACUAUAGAAAUAUAUUCACAGGUAAAAUGCCGAUUAUAGUAAAAGAGUUCACUUGGAAGCAAACUGCGGCAGCUUUAAAUAUAACGAUACCUCUCAGCCAAGGGAAGAAAGAGAAAGUGGACUUGUUCGCGACAGACACUUACAUAAAGGCGCACUACAGCCCCUUCCUGUUCGAAGUGUUCCUCCUCCAUGACGUGAACAUAGACAAGAGCAAAUGCCUCGUCAAAGAAGACCUCAUCGUCCUCGACCUGGUGAAGCGCGAGGAGAGGGAGUGGGAGCAGCUAGAGAAGGAACUAACGAAGGCGGACAAGAUGAAACUGAGACAGGAAAUUUUAGAGAAAUGCCAGGAGAAAGCUAAAGAGGAGUUUGAGCAGAAGAGGAUAAAGAAGAGUGAAAUGGAUCGGUUCACGGUGCAGAAAGCGAUGGAGAUCGAUUCUAGGCAUCAUGAGUUAAUGGAUAAAAGGCGAGACGAGCAAAGGAAGAAAGCUAUGGAUGCUCUGGAGGAGUGGAGGGUCAACACAGACGGGAAUAAAGGGGUGAAAAUAGUAGAGUUACCGGAUGAUAAGGAGAAUGGGGUUGUAAUAGAAGAGAUAACCGAUGAGAAACCGGUACCGAAAAUAGAAAGAGAUGAAGUGGCGAUUAAGAAACCACUGCAACCUGCGACACCGCGUCCUAAGAAACCGGUGAAGACCCCUGUGAAAUCAGAAUUCGUGGACAAGAAGCGCGCCGAGGCGGCGAAGCGAGUGCUGCCAGCGCUACGGAACCAGGGCAGCCUGGAGAUCCGCCACACGCCCAGGGUGUUCCCUACGCCGAGCCGCGAGUCCGCCAGGGCCGAGGAGGACGCUUGGCUAAAGAAUAUAACCUUGGCACGCCGAGCCACAGGGUUCGUGUCAGAAGACCUGCGGCCGGAGGAGCAGGACCCGGAGUGGUGCAAGAACAAGGGCGACGAGUUCUUCCGCGCCGGCAACUACCUGGGCGCCAUCAGCGCCUACACGCACGGCGUCCUGCUCUCCGACAAGCUGCCCAGCCUGUUCGCCAACCGCGCCGCCGCGCACUUCGCGCUCGGCAACUUUAACAAAUGUGUGAACGACUGCUCGACGGCGCUGGAGCUGCUGGUGCCGGCGUGCGAGACGAACCGGCGCGCGCGCGCGGCGUGCGUGGCGCGGCGCGCGGCCGGGCUGGCGCGCCUCGGCUACCUCGGCAAGGCCGUGGACGAGAUGAAGGCGGCCGCACGGCUCGUGCCCGACGACCGCACCCUCCGGCAGGAUAUCUACGACAUGGAGCGCGCCUGGGAACAGAACCCUGACGACAAUUGAAUGGAAUGUGUUGAGAGCCUUAAAUGUAUUUGUUUGACCGAAAUAGGCAGAAUGACUAGCCAAAGGCAAAGACGUGGCCUACGAUGGAGUGAGCUCACCCAGAGGAUGCCUGUUUACCCUAUGUGUUCACCCUUAUUUGAAGGUUGACGGGUUAUACAGUGCGUAAACGUAAUAAGGGCGAUAAAUGAAACCAGUCAUGUAAUUCAAUAUUGUUAUCAUUAAUUAAGAGGUGUUUUUGAGUUACUCUUCA
This 2080-nucleotide unclassified non-coding RNA is filed under the name Leguminivora glycinivorella. RNAcentral's name for it is "dynein axonemal assembly factor 4-like, transcript variant X1". Lineage: Eukaryota; Metazoa; Arthropoda; Insecta; Lepidoptera; Tortricidae. The record is from RNAcentral.